Molecule: ribosomal RNA, 507 nt
Filed under: uncultured Glomeromycotina
Lineage: Eukaryota; Fungi; Glomeromycota
Description: partial small subunit ribosomal RNA
Rfam family: Eukaryotic small subunit ribosomal RNA
Source: RNAcentral
CCAAUAGCGUAUAUUAAAGUUGUUGCAGUUAAAAAGCUCGUAGUUGAAUUUCGGGAUUGACACAUCGGUCGUGCCUUAAGGGGUAUGAACUGGUGUAGUCAAUUUCUCACCUUCUGGAGAACCGCGAUGUCCUUAAUUGGGUGCCGCGGGGAACCAGGACCUUUACUUUGAAAAAAUUAGAGUGUUUAAAGCAGGCAUUUUUGCUUGAAUACAUUAGCAUGGAAUAAUAAAAUAGGACGGCAUGGUUCUAUUUUGUUGGUUUCUAGGACCACCGUAAUGAUUAAUAGGGAUAGUUGGGGGCAUUAGUAUUCAAUUGUCAGAGGUGAAAUUCUUGGAUUUAUUGAAGACUAACUACUGCGAAAGCAUUUGCCAAGGAUGUUUUCAUUAAUCAAGAACGAAAGUUAGGGGAUCGAAGACGAUCAGAUACCGUCGUAGUCUUAACCAUAAACUAUGCCGACUAGGAAUCAGACGAUGUUAAUUUUUUAAUGACUCGUUUGGCACCUUACG